GGGCCCUUAGCUCAGGUGGUAGAGCACUGUGCUGAUAACGCAGGGGCCAGUGGUUCGAGUCCACUAGGGCCCA
This 73-nucleotide transfer RNA is filed under the name bacterium. RNAcentral's name for it is "tRNA-Ile". It matches the Rfam family "tRNA". Rfam says of the family: Transfer RNA (tRNA) molecules are approximately 80 nucleotides in length. Their secondary structure includes four short double-helical elements and three loops (D, anti-codon, and T loops). Further hydrogen bonds mediate the characteristic L-shaped molecular structure. tRNAs have two regions of fundamental functional importance: the anti-codon, which is responsible for specific mRNA codon recognition, and the 3' end, to which the tRNAs corresponding amino acid is attached (by aminoacyl-tRNA synthetases). tRNAs cope with the degeneracy of the genetic code in two manners: having more than one tRNA (with a specific anti-codon) for a particular amino acid; and 'wobble' base-pairing, i.e. permitting non-standard base-pairing at the 3rd anti-codon position. RNAcentral also lists the same sequence under 2 other names. The record is from RNAcentral.